Molecule: ribosomal RNA, 868 nt
Filed under: uncultured bacterium
Lineage: Bacteria
Description: bacterial SSU rRNA
Rfam family: Bacterial small subunit ribosomal RNA
Source: RNAcentral
GAACGGGUGAGUAACACGUGGGUAAUCUGCCCUGCACUCUGGGAUAAGCCUGGGAAACUGGGUCUAAUACUGGAUAUGACCUUUCUCCUUAUGGGGUUUGGUGGAAAGUUUUUCGGUGUAGGAUGAGCCCGCGGCCUAUCAGCUUGUUGGUGGGGUGAUGGCCUACCAAGGCGACGACGGGUAGCCGGCCUGAGAGGGUGAUCGGCCACAUUGGGACUGAGAUACGGCCCAGACUCCUACGGGAGGCAGCAGUGGGGAAUAUUGCACAAUGGGCGGAAGCCUGAUGCAGCGACGCCGCGUGAGGGAUGACGGCCUUCGGGUUGUAAACCUCUUUCAGCAGGGACGAAGCGUAAGUGACGGUACCUGCAGAAGAAGCACCGGCUAACUACGUGCCAGCAGCCGCGGUAAUACGUAGGGUGCGAGCGUUGUCCGGAAUUACUGGGCGUAAAGAGCUCGUAGGCGGUUUGUCACGUCGUCUGUGAAAUCCUAGGGCUUAACCCUGGACGUGCAGGCGAUACGGGCUGACUUGAGUACUACAGGGGAGACUGGAAUUUCUGGUGUAGCGGUGGAAUGCACAGAUAUCAGGAAGAACACCGAUGGCGAAGGCAGGUCUCUGGGUAGUAACUGACGCUGAGGAGCGAAAGCAUGGGUAGCGAACAGGAUUAGAUACCCUGGUAGUCCAUGCCGUAAACGGUGGGCGCUAGGUGUGGAGUUCCUUCCACGGGCUCCGCGCCGUAGCUAACGCAUUAAGCGCCCCGCCUGGGGAGUACGGCCGCAAGGCUAANACUCAAAGAAAUUGACGGGGGCCCGCACAAGCGGCGGAGCAUGUGGAUUAAUUCGAUGNCACGCGAAGAACCUUACCNNGGCU